AGAUUGAACGCUGGCGGCAUGCCUAACACAUGCAAGUCGAACGGGAGUAGCAAUACUCUAGUGGCGGACGGGUGAGGAAUACGUAGGAAUUUGCCCUUAAGUGGGGGAUAACCCUGGGAAACCCGGAUUAAUACCGCAUGACCUCGAAAGAGCAAAGUGGGGGAUCGCAAGACCUCGACGCUUUUGGAGAAGCCUACGUCGGAUUAGCUA
Molecule: ribosomal RNA, 210 nt
Filed under: uncultured soil bacterium
Lineage: Bacteria
Description: partial 16S ribosomal RNA
Rfam family: Bacterial small subunit ribosomal RNA
Source: RNAcentral